This is a non-coding RNA of Paramuricea clavata, 6467 nucleotides long. The record is from the annotation of a GenBank genome assembly. NCBI's taxonomy places the organism in Eukaryota, Metazoa, Cnidaria, Anthozoa, Malacalcyonacea, Plexauridae.
CCCACCCCACUGACAAAUUCUUUAAAAAUGUCCUGCUUAGAAACACUAGUCACUAGACAUGCAAUUAUUGUUUACCUACGUCUGCUGAUCUGUAGAAUUCAGUAUAGAACACUAUACAUUUAUCGAGUAUAUCUGUAGUAUUACAUGUUAAUUGUUUCAGUGUGGGUAUUAAAUUGGGAAAUUCGAAAUAUAUAAUAGCUUCGGGUUUCAGGAACUUUACGAUACUUCACGUAUUUAUAGGACACUGUCUUUAAAAUAUGCGGAUGGUAUUACGAGAAGUACAGUUUUGACUAGUUUUGAAUGUAUAAAUUUAUGCUAUUUUACUCACAUGUUGCUCGUACUGCGUAACAUUUUCUCUUUGUCCCACAGUCGCCAGAAGUCAACAGCACGUUCCCCUCUUUGUGUACGUACACGAACGACUAGCUUCUAUUUUCUUCCUAUUUUCGUGCUCGAUAAUAAAUCUCUCCUGCAUUUUUCUUUCCCUCCCAGAUCUUUUUUCUCUUUCAAACAUCCCUGUAUAUCUCUCUCGCUCUUUCUUGUUUAAUUAUUUUUCGUCUUUUACGACGAAUUCCUCGAUCGUGUUCGGCCUGGAAACCGACCUAGCUUCGAAAGUAUAUGCUCGCUCUGUCUCGCUGGUUGCACUGAGAUUUCUCCCAGAUCGUGACGUAUCCCACCAUUAGCAAGUGCGCCACUCGCUGUGUGGAAUGUCGUGUUAAAAUGCGCCAUUUCAACUGACUUUACGUAAGCUCAUACGACCAGACAAAACAGAGAAAAAGCAUAUUAUUUCUUGAGAUUUGCCGUCCUUGCUUCCUGAUCGAUGAUCAAGUGCAAAUUCCCGCGCGCGCGCUUUGUUUACAUAUGCUGCACAAAUAUUACCUUCCCCUCCCUCCCUCAGGCAGGUCAAACAAUUGUCUGUUCGCUUGCUGUGUAUUUUGCUGUACUGGAAUGGAAAAUUUUGACCAAAUAUAACUGUUAUUUCUAUCUGCAGUUGUGCAAGUAACGUCAAUUUUACGGAUGAUGGUAUAUUAGUAUUCUACUGAGCGAAUUUUUGGCCAGAUGUUGCUCGUCGAAACCAGUUUAGACCCCGUGAAAGUAUACGUGUAAUUUGAGUUAUUUGACAAACAGGAUGGCAUUCCCGUUGUGCGUAUAUGUAUACUCGUCCAAUCGGAAGAUAUUUCGUUAAUUCCCACUCAAUUUUGGAUUUUUAUGAUGAGGUUUAACCGUCACUAUCGUUCAAGGUUCACAAACAGGGUUUUCGUCCAUCCAAAGUACAUUUGAGUUACUGAGCUAAACUUCAACAAGUCUCGUAUGGUAAUAUAAAUAUGGCUGUGUCGUUAUCUGACCAAUAUGUCCUGUUUAUAUACUACAAAACGUCGGCCAGGAGAACAGGCUCUUACGAGAACAGUUAAUAUUAAAGACGACUAUAAACGAGACGAAGUUGUCCAUCGAAGAUACUGUACGAAGGUUGAUAAAAUGGACAAUUUGUCAAACAGAACUGCGAGACACGUUGCCAAAGCUAUGCAGGGUAAGCAUUUGUACUUAUAUCUGAUAAAUUGUGUAUACAUGUCAUUUCAAUGGUAUAGAACGCUCUGAUUUAAUGAAAGUUUAGGCUCCUAAAAUAAUUGCGCCAAAUAUUCAAAGGCUAAUUCAAGAUUGCUGAACUCAGUCAUAGAUGCUGUUUAAUAAUUUAUUACAUGCAAAUCACUGCUAAAAAUACUACAGUAUAUACCCCAUUUACUGUAUAUAUAUUAUAGAACCCUUGUCUUUGCCCUUGGCAGGCAAAACGUGCAAGUUAUGUUUACGCAAUAUAUUUCUGAUCUGCACUGUUGUGUUAUGCCUGACUCAGGGAGGACAGGCAUACCUACCUAGGGGAAUUUGACAGUUUCAAUUUUGCUACUGUAUGUAUGACAAUAAGCUCCACUGCAGAGCACCACUUUUUAAAUUAACCAAUCUUUGUCAAAUUUUCCCCUAUUAAGAAAUUUCAAGUUGCGAGAACUCAAGUCAAUUCCUGUGUAUGCCAUCCUUCCCCAGGCGGACAAAACAUUGCUUCGUGCAUUAUUCCAAAGUGCAUAUCACAAUCACAAAACUCUUCACAGCCUAGGUUAACAAGGCAAGGAUUAAGUGUCUAUUGUACUAUAGUAUACCUAGUGCUGUAUUUCAUAUAUGGAGGCAGACCAGCCCAGGUAUCCAAGCAAGUAACAAGGCACCCAGACUGGCCACAGCCUACUACAGUUGAGGUAGACCAUUACGCUUGGGCAGGUCAGUUCAGUUCUCAUGUUAUCGCAAAAUUAAAUUGGACAAUUGACAAGAAAUAAUACCAAAUGUGGUGUCUCUCCAAAACCAGACCAGCUCGGGUACCCUGGCUUCUCUUUCUUGCUUGCGAAAUGUGAAUUUACUUUUUGUGUUAAAUUUCUUGAGGCACUAUUAAAGCUGUGUACACUGUAAAAUAGCAUAGUAAGUGCACCAGGAGGGAUUGUGCCUUUAACAUAUAUCUCAUUUUUUAUAGGAUUAUGUUCGUCGUAAACUGAAAGCAUUGAAUGCUUAUGAGAGUAAUCUAGCAUACGUUUGAUGAAAGGUAACUUUGUGUACUAACAUUAUAUUUAUGAAACACCACAAUGACCACAUUCAUACAAGUUAACUUGUUGCUUGUGAUGAAGAAUGGUCCUUAAAAUGAAAUGAUUUUUUCUGUGUUGGUGUUAUGUACUCAGGUGAAUAUGAUGUUUGUGCAAUGAUACUCUGAGUGUAUAUCCACACUGGGCAAGCUUGAAAAAUAUGCCUGACCACGGUGGGAAUCGAACCUACGACCUUUGGAAUGCUAGCCCAUUGGCUCUGCCAACUGAGCUACGCGGUCUGGUCGGUUCGAGUAUGCGAUAUUUCGGAACAGAAUCUAGUUCCUUCGAUAUCAAUGUAAUCUAGUAUUAAUGAUAUUUUCUGUGUUGGUGCAAGCCAACAAGUACAACCGCGUAGCUCAGUUGGCAGAGCAUUGGACUAGCAUUCCAAAGGUCCUAGGUUCGAUUCCCACUGUGGUCAGGCAUAUUUUUCAAGCUUGCCCGGUGUGGAUAUACACUCAGAGUAACAUCACAAGCUUCUUAUUCACCUGAGUACAUUGCACCAACACAGAAAAUAUCAAGUUAACUUGUAUUUGCAGGCCAGCUAGGCCCGUAGCUAGACUGAUCAUUGGGGGUGUAUAUUCAUAUAUUCGUGUUCUGCCUGAGGGAUUUCUUUUGAAAGUAAUUGUUAACGUUGUUACACUACAUGAACAUGAAUAUAUGAAUAUACACCCACCGCCACCCACCCCCCACCCCUCCAAUUAUCGGUUCUAGCUACGCCGCUGUUGCAGGCGUACACUUAUGAAACAUGAGUCAUCUUAUACAGCUAUACUAAAUAUUCUGUUUUAAUUUUAGUGUUGACUCUCAACACAACAUCAUGCUGUGUUCCAAGGUUUCCAAGGAACUGGCUCAUGAGUAUGGAGGGCCACAACUGUUUUAAUAAAAGGUAUGGUGUACACAGUAUUUAUGGUAUUUGUAAUUGUCUUGCCCAAGGCCAAAAAAAAUAUGUGGGUUUCCGGUUUCUUCUUAUAAAAACUUAGGUAGGGUAGGUCGGUUUUAAUUUUUUUUUAACUUUUUUUUAAAUUUUCCAAACAAAUGAACGCCAUUUUGUUUAGUCAGUGCUUUCACAUCCAAAUUAGAUAAAUUUCCCUAAUAUUGCCUCAAAUUUCAAUUUUCCACGAACUUUUUCCUCUAAGUGGAAACACUUACAAGCAUGAUCCAAUAAAAAAGUUUAGGGUCGGGAUUUCAACGUCCAAAAGGUAGGUAGGGUCGGGAAACCGGAAACCCGCAUAUUUUUUUUGGCCCAAUAGAUAUAUUUUAAAACCUUAUACCGGUAACUCCUGUGGUAUCUGGAUUCUGGUAAUCACUUUACCAUACUUUACUCUGUCAAUUUUUCAAUAUUAAUUACCAGGCGAUAUAUGUUGGGGGGUCACAAAACUCCCAACACAGCAACGUCUAUAGAGUGGUAUCACUUUAAUUUUGCUCACACCAGAGAAUCGUCCUAUAUAUGACUAAAGCUAGACAAUUGUACUGUACUUGUACAUAGCACAUGUCUCAAAAUUUGAUUUAAUUAAAGACUUUUGAGCAUAGUAUAGAAAGAGUAUAAUAUGCAGCUGCUGUAAUUCUUAUGAUGUUGUCACAAGCAAUGCUGUAUUGCAGUAGUCAAAUGUCACAUGCCAGCAAUAUUAUCUGCAUUUGCUUGCAUUUUGUCAAAAAUAUUUGCGUUUUGGAUUGUAGAAUUGACUAUUGCAUGUGACAACCUUUGCAUGUGCACUGUAUUUAAAGAAUGGUCCUUAAAAUGAAAUGAUUUUUUCGUGUUGGUGUUAUGUACUCAGAUGAAUAUGAUGUUUGUGCAAUGAUACUCUGAGUGUAUUUAUAACCAUACCGGAGAAGUUUGAAAAAUAGACCUGGCCAGGGUGGGAAUCAAAGCUACGACCCUGGAAUGCCCAAUGCUUUGCCAACUGAGCUAUCAUGAUUACUAGAUUGCAUUGAUAUCGAAAGAACUAGACUCAGUUCUGAAAUAUCACAUACUCAAACCAACUUGACUGCGUAGCUCAGUUGGCAGAGCAUUGGGCUAGUAUUCCAAGGGUCAUCUAGGUUCGAUUCCAACCGAGGCCGGGCAUAUUUUUCAAGCUUACCCGGUGUGGAUAUACACUCAGAGUGACAUCACAAGCAUCAUAUUCACCUGAAUACAUUACACCAACACAGAAAAAAUCAUGAUUAUUAGAUUGCAUUGUUAUCGAAGUAACUAGGCUCAUUUCCGAAAAUCACAUAGUAUUACUCGAACCGACCUGACUUCGUAGCUCAGUUGGCAGAGCAUUGGGCUAGUAUUCCAAGGGUCAUAGGUUCGAUUCCCACCGUAGCCAGGCAUAUUUUUGUCAAGCUUGCUUGGUGUGGAUAUACACUCAGAGUAACAUCACAAACAUCAUGGUCUUUAAUUUAAAAUGUUUACGCGGUUUUUACAUAUGAUUUGGUACAAGUUCUCGUGAACAUCCAGAACAAAUUAUUUUGCGUGUUUAAAUUUUCCACCAACAUUAACACACAGCAAGGGAUUAAAGACUUUGAAGAUCUGUUAACAGCUUUCGCAUUAAUUUACACAGUAUAACCAAUUUUUUAAGAUUGAAUUUUUAUUAUUUUAUAAAGGACGAGGUUUGAACUUAUAACACUGCAUUUAAUUUUGAUAGCCAUUAAUUUAGCUUUGUAUUUCAAGGGUGUUGCUCAAUCUAAAACAUCCGUCUUUGGGUGUUUGUGACAUUUGUGACACUCUAUUUGAAAGUUACAUUUUGCUUUGUCCCCCCGAGCAAUGUAUAAAUUUAAAUACAUGCAGUAAAUGCCAUUUUUAUGCUCAUUGCUUGUAAUGCCUCGAUAACCUCGUGGAUGAAUCUGUAAGGCUUCCAAAGUCGGAUUUCUUGCUGAGCAAAGUUGUGGCAUGCAUAAGCAGUCUACCUAACACCCCCCCCCCCAAAUUACUUACUGUAUGUCGCCUGCGACGAAAAGUAUGUAAAAUGAUUAUGAAGAAGAAUUUAAAGAACUUUCAGAGUCUGAACAACGCGCAUACGGUGGAAGGAAAAGUCAUCCAGGCAAUGUCAUCCAAUCAUCAAAUCAACAUUUGAUACAAAAUUGUACUGUGUGAACUCAAUAGUCAACAUUUGUACUAUAAGUUUUCCAAGAACUUGUAGUAGUGUCAAGCUUAUUUGUUAUUAUUUUGUAUCUUUCUUUAGAGACUUGCACGCAGGCUGAAGCACGUGGGAAAGGCAAAUUGGGGUGCCCAGAAAACUGCAAGAGUGUUCGAUGUUAUGAGGGCAGGCUACUGUACAUGUCAUCAGAAGAAAGCGAGGUCGACGAAACAACAAAAAGGAUCAUGCGUUACAACGUUCGUAGGCUACCCUGGGAGAGUCCAUCUCUAUACGAAGGGCAAAGAAAAAGUUAUACAGGCUCCACACCUUGUCUUUGUCAGAACUGGUACGGAGCAGAAUUGUUCCUCGCGAGGAUGGACAGCCCUCCAUUCGACCUAAGCCAAACGACUUCCCGGAGUGGGCAGCUAAGAACGAGGAUGAUAAUGUUGUUGAUGAGAGUGCCCAGUCAUUAUCCCUAGUGGCUCUUCGCUGAAUGACUCUGUUAAUGACAUUUUAAAUGAUCAUGACUCUGAUUGCUAUAGUUUUUCAGUAUAGUAAAGACCCACGAUAUAUCACCCAAAGUUUUCCAUGUUCUAAUGUAUUAAGUUAAGAGUGCUUUAUAUAUUUGUUGUGAACCUGCAUGGCUUCUUAAACAGGUUCAUACAAAAUUCUAAAUAGAAAUGUUAGACUGAAAGGUUUUUAUUCGUGGGUUUUCAUUCUGCACGUGAUAAUUUGAUAAUCAAAUUUAUGAGUUUGCGUAAUUUACACUGUUUAUACGAUAUGCAUUUAUUCUGCAUGGCAG